This 646-nucleotide long non-coding RNA is filed under the name Pongo abelii (Sumatran orangutan). RNAcentral describes it as "lincRNA". Lineage: Eukaryota; Metazoa; Chordata; Mammalia; Primates; Hominidae. The record is from RNAcentral.
GAGAAGCGUGGGGGCCUUGGAAUAGUUCCAGAAUGAGGAUGUGCGUUUCUAGCUUCUUUGCGCCCUCCUCUCCCAAAAAUCUGCUACCACAAUUCCUCCCUGGCGGCGCGCCCCCAAGACUCCUUUGUCGCCCCAGGGGCGGGACCUGAGCUGUCGAUUUCAGGGGCUCUUCGUGACUCCAAAAGUCCUGGGCGCUGUUGCUCAUGAGUGCUGCACAACUGUCGCCCUCUAAAGCCACCUCCAUUCCUCACUGGGCUGGCCUCCUGAGCCUUCGAAGGAAGCCCGGUGCCAGCCAGCCUUCAUGAAAGACCAAGCCCGCGCCAUCCGGCUUCCUCCAGUGGACGCCUGCAGGACCCAGGUGAGACACGGAACCGGUUGGGGACGCGAGCAAGGGAUCCUGACCGGUUGGGGGCGGCGAGCAAGGGAUCCUGACUUGGGGGCGUUGCCUCCCGGAAUCCAAGAGGCCUUUUGCCCGGGUCUCCCGAGAUGCAUCGAAAUUGAGCUCGUCCACACAGCCCCCUGACUGCGUGGUGCCCUUUUCUGACUUAAAACAUUCCUUGUACCUUUAUUUACACGAUCCAAGUUGCAGUGUGCCUAGAUUUUCCUCCAAGGACAAAAAUGUGAAUAAAGCAAUAUUUUAGCCAAA